This is a long non-coding RNA of Triticum dicoccoides, 730 nucleotides long. RefSeq lists it as uncharacterized. The transcript has 7 exons. The record is from RefSeq and is a predicted model, not a curated record. NCBI's taxonomy places the organism in Eukaryota, Viridiplantae, Streptophyta, Magnoliopsida, Poales, Poaceae.
AUGCACGUGGAGCGUCGGGCCGUGCCUCCUCUGCACCAGAGAGUUCACCCUCGUCCUCGUCCUCUCUACUCCGCUCGAGCUCUAACCCUCACCUCUAUUUCGGUCUCUCUUAGAUUUGGUGCAGUGGCCGCCUCUCUCUCUUGAUUCAAUCCCCUCAAAAAUCUCAUAUUUGGUUUUGUGCCUACAAGAUUUACUUCAGGAGCUGAAGUAAGAAAAAAUGAAGGUUGUUGCGCGGAGCAUGGCAUCGGUGGAGGAGAGGAUCACUGUCGUGCGCCUGGUUGCGGGAACAGGCUGAGGUCCUCAUUCAACCUUAAUUUGAAGCCCUUAGGUAGGCUAGAAGGCGGGUAACCGGCGCCACGAGCAUGAUCCCCUCUUUGCUGGCGGGCUCAGCGACGGUUUCAUCGACGUAUGGAACCCACCGCAGAUACUGAUUUUGGUGUCAGCUCAAGGUAAAAGGUAAAGUCUGAAGGUGUUCUUUUAGGUUAUUGUCAACGGAAGCAGCUGAUAAAUAUGAAUUCAGAGGAAGCAGCUUAUAAAUAGGGACACUGCGGUUACUAUUUCCCUAGGACACAGCUGCGGCUAAGAAAAGGACAUGUUGAAGCAGCACCAUCGAUUAUCGUGCUCCUCUGCAUUGAGAAGAAGUCACUCCCGAGUCGUCUAUGUACCACCUCCAAGGCAUGUCAAGAACUGGUAGCCAAUGAUCUCCAUGGAACUGAGUGACAUUUCUUGG